RNAcentral lists this ribosomal RNA (245 nucleotides) under uncultured bacterium. RNAcentral's name for it is "partial 16S ribosomal RNA". It matches the Rfam family "Bacterial small subunit ribosomal RNA", at positions 524 to 768 of the family's 1533-position model. The record is from RNAcentral.
UACGGAGGGGGCAAGCGUUGUCCGGAUUUACUGGGCGUAAAGGGCGCGUAGGCGGUUUGGCAAGUCUGGUGUGAAAACGUGCGGCUUAACUGCACGCUUGCACCGGAAACUGCCUAACUUGAGUUCGGGAGAGGAAAGCGGAAUUCCUAGUGUAGCGGUGAAAUGCGUAGAUAUUAGGAGGAACACCGGUGGCGAAAGCGGCUUUCUGGACCGACACUGACGCUGAGGCGCGAAAGUCAGGGGAG